RNAcentral lists this ribosomal RNA (453 nucleotides) under uncultured Brevundimonas sp. Its description in RNAcentral is "partial 16S ribosomal RNA". Lineage: Bacteria; Pseudomonadati; Pseudomonadota; Alphaproteobacteria; Caulobacterales; Caulobacteraceae. The record is from RNAcentral.
CACGAAGCUAGCCGGGGCUUCUUCUCCGGCUACAGUCAUUAUCUUCACCGGUGAAAGGAUUUUACAAUCCUAAGACCUUCAUCAUCCACGCGGCAUGGCUGCGUCAGGCUUUCGCCCAUUGCGCAAGAUUCCCCACUGCUGCCUCCCGUAGGAGUUUGGGCCGUGUCUCAGUCCCAAUGUGGCUGGUCAUCCUCUCAGACCAGCUACUGAUCGUAGCCUUGGUGAGCCUUUACCUCACCAACUAGCUAAUCAGACGCGGGCCGCUCUAAAGGCGAUAAAUCUUUCCCCCGAAGGGCACAUUCGGUAUUAGCACAGGUUUCCCUGAGUUAUUCCGAACCUAAAGGCACGUUCCCACGUGUUACUCACCCGUCCGCCACUAACUCCGAAGAGUUCGUUCGACUUGCAUGUGUUAGGCCUGCCGCCAGCGUUCGCUCUGAGCCAGGAUCAAACUCU